Gallus gallus (chicken) is the source of this 2888-nucleotide long non-coding RNA. RefSeq lists it as uncharacterized. NCBI's taxonomy places the organism in Eukaryota, Metazoa, Chordata, Aves, Galliformes, Phasianidae. The transcript is spliced from 2 exons. The record is from RefSeq and is a predicted model, not a curated record.
GGCAACGCAGAAGGCAGCACAAAGAGUUCCGGCUGUGGACACUUGCAGUUGCAACAUUCACUUGGAGGCUGUGGCAUGCUCACUGAGCUGCAGUGACACGUUGAUUCACUUGUGUGGAUAAGUGGCAGUUCCAGCAUGCUUUAACAAGCGGAUGUAGGCUACUAGCAGAGAGAUACAAUAGCAUAGCUCAGUCUGGAUAGAAAAUAAUACUCAUGCUGCUAUAUAAAUAAAAUAAGAUCUUAGUAUCAAGAUGGCUGACCUGGAAGUCUACUUGUAGCUCUUGUUUCUUAUGCAAAUGAGCUAAAUGUCAGUGGCUUAUUCAGAGGAGGAAGUUCAUUUUGCACGUGUCAAGUUCUCCACAGGAAAUCCAGAAGGACCACCCCUUUCCUAUCCCAAAAGUCAGUGCACAUCACUUUACCUGCUGAAGGCUGCAUCUUGAACUUGUUCUUCGAUGGGGAAUUCACAUCUCACCGUUCCAUGGACUCGUUUCGCCUCUGGCUAGUGGUGGUGACACCAAAUCUAGUCACCAGAAAUUAUGUCAAUCUAGUGAACUGUCACCGUCAGCCUCAUAUUGGUUCUGACAAACUUGCAUACAGUAUUCCUUCUGUUCCUGUGAGCGUCUGUAAGACACAGCUUUGCAGUAUUCCAACACUGCCACCAUUGAAACAUAAAGCUGUUUCAGUCUUUCCAGUGCACUGAAGCCAAUAGGCUGUUAGUACGCUGUUCCUUGGUCAUAAUUUAUGAAUUCGUGAGGAUGAACUGAUUGAGGUAUUCUUCGUUUUGUGGUGUGGCAGCUGUUCAUGGUCAUCUGAAAUGUGGUUUGUCUUUCAUGUUACUGUUGACAUUGCUGAAAAGCACUGUGCACUGCACUACUGUGCUCACAUGCACUGUUUGAUCUCCAUAAAUGUUAAACAAGUGUUGGUCAGUCUCAGUGGGUGCCAAUUUUUUCUGCAUGGACAAGUUCAGUGACACACCUUUGCUCAUACACACUUCCACAUCAGACACCAUUUUGUUAGACCACCUCUCUGCUGCCAUCUGUCACAUGGCAACAAAAUGAAAUGCAAUACUGUUGAAAAGAUAAAGCCUCUACUGCCAUACCACCACCAUCUGCCUCUGACAUCCUAGGCCAACAUAAUAAAAUAGAAGGUAUUAUUUUCAAAGCAAUUCUAGAAUAAUUUAGGUUGGAGUGAAUCUCUAAUCUGGCAUCUUCAAAGGAUGGUAAUCUUAAAAUUAGAUGAGAUUACUUCAGGGUUUGUCAAUAUAAGGUCUGAAAAUCUGCGAGAGUGAAGGUUCCGCAGCCUCUCCAGACAAACUGUUUCAGUGUUUGACCACCCUCGUUGCAAAUAAUGAUUCUCUGCGUCUAUCUGGGAUUUCCACUGUUGCAGGCUCUAUCUGUUGUCAGUGUGCUGUGAAUCUCUGAAGACUGUGGAUUUUGUCUUUAUAAAUGCCAAUUUGCCUAUUGAAGAGAGAAUUAGUUCUCUUUUAGCAGUCUAAUUUUCAUGCUACACAAAUUCAGCUCCCUAGUUUAACCUUAUUUUCCAUGUUCUCCAGUCCUUAACCAUCUUGGUGCUCCUCCGGUUUUUCAUUAUCAGUUGUGUUAGGGGUUUCCUUCCUCCAAGAAAGACAUUCCCUUGAUUUGAAGACAGACUUAAUAGGAUUGCUAACUUAUGGCGCUUAGGUGACAUACGGCUUUGAAGCCUCUAAUAUGUGACUUGAUUGCUCUGGCAACUCUGUAUCUGGGUUAUGUAGGAUGGUGCUGGCGUGACACCUUUCAAAUAGUCGAAAUUUUUCAUUACUGUAUGAGUGUAAGGUUCUCCAGUUGGAACCCUUACAACAUGUUACUAGCCUGACUGAGACCUGGCUACCUAUUUAACCAAACCUUGCCCUGCUAAUGUGGUACUUCCCAAGCUAGCUGCAAAGUGAAAAAGCUGUAGUAUUGCAUCUACUUUCUUUUAUUGGGCAGGAUAAGUCAUGUAACAUAGAUGCCACCACAAGGGCAACAUGUGUAUUCCAAGAAGCUUUGCUGACAAUCUAAGGCAAAUCUGGUAAAAAUAAAACAAUUCUCCAGUCUAGGAGACAAACAGUCAACUCAGGAAUGGAGGAGGCAUUGCAAAACCACUUCAGAGUCUGUUCAUCUGUCACAGAAAAUCCAGCUAUCGUAGAAACUCUCCAGUUAAAACUUAACUCUAGUACCACUUAAACUAGAUGAUACAGGCUCUCAGUUGGUUUGAACAUGCCAUAACUAUUUCUAAUUUAUUAAGAGAUGAACUUCCUUUAGGGAAAGGCUUUGUUUCUGACAGAAAAAUGAUUUUAUCCAACACAAAAUUAGCAUUCAUUUAGCAAGGGUUUUGGAACAACAGCCUGUGGAAUAAUGAAAGCACUUCAACAUCUACAAAACUGGUAAAAGACUGAUUAAUACUUGAGCAGACGAGCUAAAAGUAUUUCUCUCCUAGUAGGUAGUGUCAUUUGCAUGUAUGCAGAAUUCUGAGUGGUUUUUAAUCUUUAUCACAGGGAUGUGUUUAUUUAUGUAAAUCUUAAGUCUGCUAAUGAACACUAUGCAUUCCUGACAUAUUAAUCCCUGUUUACUGUUUACUUUCCCUAUAGGAAGAUGGAAGCACUUUGGUGAUUGGUACUCCACUUAAAAUAAAACAGAAAACAAACUUUUCUUCCCAAAUAGCUGUGGUAGUUAAUUAUUCUGUUCUAGUGCAACGUAUGUAGUACUUUGAAAAUUAUUGGUAGCAUUGUAUUUUUACCCACUAAAGGCCCUCUGUGAUGGUGCUGUAGCCCCUGCAUCUUUUGAGAAUACUGUUAGCAGCAGCCUUCUUUUGGAGAACUGUGCAUCUUGAGAAAAUGAUGGAAAUGUUCAGGGUUCGCUUAAUAUUUAAAAA